GUAGCUCAGCUGGUUAGAGUAUCGCCUUGACAUGGCGGGGGUCGGUGGUUCGAGUCCACUC
RNAcentral lists this transfer RNA (61 nucleotides) under Vibrio alginolyticus. Its description in RNAcentral is "tRNA-Val". It matches the Rfam family "tRNA", at positions 7 to 64 of the family's 71-position model. Rfam says of the family: Transfer RNA (tRNA) molecules are approximately 80 nucleotides in length. The record is from RNAcentral. Lineage: Bacteria; Pseudomonadati; Pseudomonadota; Gammaproteobacteria; Vibrionales; Vibrionaceae.